RNAcentral lists this ribosomal RNA (253 nucleotides) under uncultured bacterium. RNAcentral's name for it is "partial 16S ribosomal RNA". It matches the Rfam family "Bacterial small subunit ribosomal RNA", at positions 524 to 776 of the family's 1533-position model. The record is from RNAcentral.
UACAGAGGGGGCAAGCGUUGUUCGGAAUUACUGGGCGUAAAGGGCGCGUAGGCGGCCUGCUAAGUCGAACGUGAAAUCCCCGGGCUCAACCCGGGAACUGCGUCCGAUACUGGCAGGCUUGAAUCCGGGAGAGGGAUGCGGAAUUCCAGGUGCAGCGGUGAAAUGCGUAGAUAUCGGGAGGAACAUCAGUGGCGAAGGCGGCUACCUGGCCCAAUACUGACACUCAGGUGCGACAGCGUGGGGAGCAAACAGG